RNAcentral lists this ribosomal RNA (253 nucleotides) under uncultured bacterium. RNAcentral describes it as "partial 16S ribosomal RNA". It matches the Rfam family "Bacterial small subunit ribosomal RNA", at positions 524 to 776 of the family's 1533-position model. The record is from RNAcentral.
GACAGAGGGUGCAAACGUUGUUCGGAAUUACUGGGCGUAAAGCGCGUGUAGGCAGCUCGGAAAGUCGGAUGUGAAAGCCCUGGGCUCAACCUAGGAAGUGCAUUCGAAACUUCCGAGCUUGAGUGCUGGAGAGGAAGGCGGAAUUCUCGGUGUAGAGGUGAAAUUCGUAGAUAUCGAGAGGAACACCGGUGGCGAAGGCGGCCUUCUGGACAGUAACUGACGCUGAGACGCGAAAGCGUGGGGAGCGAACAGG